Molecule: long non-coding RNA, 2049 nt
Organism: Bubalus bubalis (water buffalo)
Lineage: Eukaryota; Metazoa; Chordata; Mammalia; Artiodactyla; Bovidae
Exons: 4
Source: RefSeq, a predicted model, not a curated record
CUGGGUAUCCAUCCUCCUAGACAGAGGUCCUCCCACAGUGCUGAGAAGAAACCUGUCAUGAAGGAUUAACCACGAGUCUGGAGUGUGCCCUGAGGAAGGCAGGGUAAGCAGAGAGUAAAGGAGGUCAUCGUCAGGUUUGAGACCUGUUGACAUUGAGAUCAUAGGAGGUGUAUAGGUGGAGAUAUAGAGAAGAAUUGGAAUCACACCUUGCUCAUAUCAGGAACUCUGUUAUUAUUAUGGAAUUCCUUCUAUUGGAGCAAUAAGAAUCCAUACUCAGUGCACGUAAGAGGAGAGCGAGGCCAAGAAGGUUGAGGAGGAUUCCCCUGUAAGGUCUGCCUGGUGGCAAGCACGUGACCUGGGCAGACUCCACCUGCAACUCAUUUAGCCCUCCAUUCCUGUCUGAUGACCAACCGUGCUGGCAUGCUCUGGACAGCCGACUGCGGACACGGGAGACGAUGCUCGGGAUGUGUUACACUCGAUGGAAUCAAGCUGCACAGCGCUGUGCCACAGCUGUGCCAGGGAGCCCCCAUCCCGCCCUCAGCUGACUUCCUCCCACUGCUUCCUGACUUUGGAAUGAACUUAGGCAGGGAAGAGAGUAUGGUGGAUGGGCUUGGGUUUUGGAUUCUGACAGCCUGGGUCACCUCCUGGUUCUGCCGCUUACCAGCUGUGUGCACAAACACACAGGUCAGGUCAGUUAACUCAAACGCCAACUCUCUCUGCUCACUCUGCUUUGGUUUUGCCCCUUGAAUAUGGCUCCUUUGAUCUCUUUUCUUCUUGAGUCACUAGAGGCAAUCACCAGUAUGUCAUGGGCUGCUUGUCCUCCUGCCUGGCAAUGAGAGCAGGUGCUGACAAACCUCUUGGAGCCCUGGGGGCCCUUCAGAGGCCUCCAUAGCAGGUUACUGCACAUGCAACUGCAGCCCGGGCUGGGGGAAGCCACCCCUCCAGGGGGAACGAGAGGGCCAGGCUGUACUGGGGCCCAGAGAAGGCUCCAGAUGUGCUGAGAAUGGGGACCAGGAGGUCUGACGGUAUGAAGACAAACUGCUGUCCUGUGAUAUCUGAUCCUAUUUUAAUCCCCAGGGCUAUGCCUGGAGAAACUGGUUAUAUUCAUUAGACUUAGAGAUGGAAAAUGUCUCAUUGUCUCAAUUAGCAUCUUGGCUAAUUAGUAUGCUUGAUCUUUUUCUUUUUUCCACAUAUUUAUUGGCUCUUUCUCCUUCCUCAUACCCCAGUAUUUUUUUCUUUUUCCACUUUAUUAAAAACACACAACAGUACAAAACAUUUGCAAGUUUUUCCUUCCUUGGAAUCCACAACCAAGACAAAUGCAAAAUGCCCUUCCUCAGACUCUACUGAACCCUCAGACUAUUUACUAUUUAUCGCCCCACCCCUUCCUGGCACCAUUCUCCUUCAGAUGGUCCCAUGCCAGCUUCUGCUUCUUCUGCCCUCUCCUUUCUGUCCCCUGUCUCUUCCAUCUGGCUUCUGUUCCUGCCAGUGUGUGAAAACUAUGCCCCCACACCCAGAGGAUCUUGGAGCCUCACUCUGCACCCUACCCCUUGUGUCCCAAGUGCUGACCAGGCUCUCUGUCCUUCUGCAGGGAGACUCUGGGGACAUAUCUGUGCUUCUCUCCUGACAGCUCCUUGCUGUUCACUUCCCUCUCUUCCUAACAUGCUGGUGACCCCACAUGAACUUGCCCCAAGUCCUCCCAAGUACCAGUUCUGCAAGUCACAAUGACUGGUGAACCUCUCCAUAUGAUAUUCUGUUGGGGAUUGAAAACAGCCACCAACUACAAUGCUCAGCACUGAAUUCCUGGUAGCCUAGCCUCUGAUGUGGAAAGUGGGGGACGUGUUUCUCUUUCCCGUUGAAUUCCUAGGUAUUUGUGCCUUCACCUCGUAGUGGCCCAAGUAACCAGUGAGUCCCGCCAAGCCUCUCUUUUCCAACUCUGUAUGCUGCUAAGUCACUUCAGUCGUGUCCGACUCUGUGCGACCCCAGAGACAGUAGCCCACCAGGCUCCCCCAUCCCUGGGAUUCUCCAGGCAAGAACGCUGGAGUGCGGUGC